RNAcentral lists this ribosomal RNA (495 nucleotides) under uncultured soil bacterium. RNAcentral describes it as "bacterial SSU rRNA". It matches the Rfam family "Bacterial small subunit ribosomal RNA", at positions 26 to 521 of the family's 1533-position model. The record is from RNAcentral.
AGAUUGAACGCUGGCGGCAGGCCUAACACAUGCAAGUCGAGCGGUAGAGAGGUGCUUGCAUCUCUUGAGAGCGGCGGACGGGUGAGUAAUGCCUAGGAAUCUGCCUAGUGGUGGGGGAUAACGUUCGGAAACGGACGCUAAUACCGCAUACGUCCUACGGGAGAAAGCGGGGGACCUUCGGGCCUCGCGCCAUUAGAUGAGCCUAGGUCGGAUUAGCUAGUUGGUGAGGUAAUGGCUCACCAAGGCGACGAUCCGUAACUGGUCUGAGAGGAUGAUCAGUCACACUGGAACUGAGACACGGUCCAGACUCCUACGGGAGGCAGCAGUGGGGAAUAUUGGACAAUGGGCGAAAGCCUGAUCCAGCCAUGCCGCGUGUGUGAAGAAGGUCUUCGGAUUGUAAAGCACUUUAAGUGGAGAAGGUUGUAACCUAAUACGUUGCAACUUUGACGUUACGACAGAAUAAGCACCGGCUAACUUCGUGCCAGCAGCCGUACG